GUGAAAACACUAGAAAGGAGAAAGAGAACACUGAAGAAAUGUGCACAGAGAAAAAGAGAAGAUGUGUGAUCAUGGGAGAUAAGUAAAGGAGAGCAGUAGUAAAGCAGUGUAAGAAUCAGAAGAAAUGGGAAACAGCAUUAGAAGAGAGGACACACAGGGAUAGAAAGUUGGCGAGAACAAUAGAGGGAAGAAGAGUGAACAUAGAGAUAAACAUAGAGAAACAUAGGGAGCGAGUGCAAAAUACCUCCAUACUGAGAGUAAAAACUGAGCAAACUCAUACCCUAAUACACCAAGGGGCGCCCUGCAAACAUUUAAAUAUGAUUGCAAACCACUGAUUCAUGGAGACGGUUGGGGUGUGGGAUGGAUAAGGGUCUG
This is a non-coding RNA of Pelobates cultripes (western spadefoot toad), 375 nucleotides long. The record is from the annotation of a GenBank genome assembly. NCBI's taxonomy places the organism in Eukaryota, Metazoa, Chordata, Amphibia, Anura, Pelobatidae.